This 330-nucleotide ribosomal RNA is filed under the name uncultured eukaryote. Its description in RNAcentral is "partial 18S ribosomal RNA". It matches the Rfam family "Eukaryotic small subunit ribosomal RNA", at positions 1470 to 1796 of the family's 1831-position model. The record is from RNAcentral.
CCCUUAGAUGUUCUGGGCCGCACGCGCGCUACACUGAUGCAUUCAACGAGUCUAAAACCUGGUCUGAUAGGGCUGGGUAAUCUUUUGAAUGUGCAUCGUGAUUGGGAUAGAUGAUUGCAAUUCUUCAUCUUCAACGAGGAAUGCCUAGUAAACGCAAGUCAUCAGCUUGCAUUGAUUACGUCCCUGCCCUUUGUACACACCGCCCGUCGCUCCUACCGAUUGAAUGUUCCGAUGAAUACCAUGGACUGUGAGUAUGAAUGGGUUCGCCUAUUUCUGCUUCUCGGGAAGUGGAGUAAAUCUUAACAUUUAGAGGAAGGAGAAGUCGUAACA